This 83-nucleotide transfer RNA is filed under the name Dielma fastidiosa. RNAcentral's name for it is "Clostridiaceae bacterium JC13 tRNA". It matches the Rfam family "tRNA". Rfam says of the family: Transfer RNA (tRNA) molecules are approximately 80 nucleotides in length. Their secondary structure includes four short double-helical elements and three loops (D, anti-codon, and T loops). Lineage: Bacteria; Bacillati; Bacillota; Erysipelotrichia; Erysipelotrichales; Erysipelotrichaceae. The record is from Rfam by way of RNAcentral.
GCAGAAGUGGUGAAACGGCAGACACGCUGUCUUCAGGUGGCAGUGCACACACGUGCGUGAGGGUUCAAAUCCCUUCUUCUGCA